Non-coding RNA from Trichobilharzia regenti, 45 nucleotides. The record is from Rfam. Lineage: Eukaryota; Metazoa; Platyhelminthes; Trematoda; Strigeidida; Schistosomatidae.
AUCCAGUUGACGAGUCCCAAGUAGGACGAAAUGCGCAUCCUGGAU